This 2439-nucleotide ribosomal RNA is filed under the name hydrothermal vent metagenome. RNAcentral's name for it is "bacterial LSU rRNA". It matches the Rfam family "Bacterial large subunit ribosomal RNA". The record is from RNAcentral.
UUAGAGUCACUUAUUCAUGAAUACAUAGUGAAUGAGAGUUAACCUAGUGAAUUGAAAUAUCUUAGUAGCUAGAGGAAAAGAAAUCUAUUCCGUUAGUAGUGACGAGCGAACGCGGACCAGGCCAGUAGCAAAAAUAUAAUAACUAGAACUUUCUGGAAAGUUAGACCAAAGUGGGUGAUAGUCCCGUAUAGGUAAAAAAUAUUAUUGUUCUCGAGUAGGGCGGAACACGUGAAAUUUUGUCUGAACAUGGGGAGACCACUUCCCAAGCCUAAAUACUCCUUAAUGACCGAUAGUGAACAAGUACCGUGAGGGAAAGAUGAAAAGCACCCCGAUAGGGGGAAUGAAAUAGUAUCUGAAACCGAAUGCCUACAAGCAGUCAGAGCUCCUUUAUGGAGUGAUGGCAUACCUUUUGUAUAAUGGGUCAGCGACUUAGUCUGUGCAGCAAGCUUAAGCCAACAGGUGUAGGCGCAGGGAAACCAAGUCUUAAUAGGGCGAUUAGUUGUACGGAUUAGACUCGAAGCGGGAUGAGCUUAUUAUGAGCAGGUUGAAGAUGUAGUAACAUACAUCGGAGGACCGAACCAGGGAACGUUGAAAAGUUCUUGGAUGACUUGUGAUAAGGGGUGAAAGGCCAACCAAAUUCCGCUAUAGCUAGUUCUCCGCGAAAACUAUUUAGGUAGUGCGUUGUGUUAAUGUUGUUAGGGGUAGAGCACUAGAUGGGCUAGGGGGAAGCGAUUCCUACCAAACCUAACUAAACUCCGAAUACUAGCAAUUUCUGCACAGCAGACAGACUAUAGGUGCUAAGGUCUAUAGUCGAGAGGGAAACAGCCCAGAUCACCAGUUAAGGCCCCCAAAUAAUGGCUAAGUGGGAAAGUAUGUAGAAAGUUCAAGACAGGCAGGAGGUUGGCUUAGAAGCAGCCAUCCUUUAAAGAUAGCGUAACAGCUCACUGUUCUAAUCAAGACUUUCCGCGACGAAGAUGUAACGGGGCUCAAGCCAUAUGCCGAAACUGUGACUUUGUAAGUAUUGAGAUACUUACAAGGGGUAGCGGAGCGUUCUGUAAGCCGUUGAAGGUAUCUCGAAAGGGGUGCUGGAGGUAUCAGAAGUGCGAAUGCUGACAUGAGUAGCGAUAAAGAGUGUGAGAGACACUCUCGCCGAAAUCCUAAGGUUUCCUGCGUAAAGCUAAUCUGCGCAGGGUUAGUCGACCCCUAAGGCGAGGCAGAAAUGCGUAGUCGAUGGGAAACAGGUUAAUAUUCCUGUACCUGCUGUGAGUUGACGGAUCACGUAAAUUGUAUUUUCUUAUUGGAUUGAGAAUGCAGUGAAGUGGUUCCUGGAAAUAGCCACAGCAUAUAGAUCGUACCAUAAACCGACACAGGUAGGAAGGUAGAAAAUACCAAGGCGCUUGAGAGAAUGAUGUUGAAGGAACUCGGCAAAAUGCCCUUGUAACUUCGGAAUAAAAGGGACCAAUUUUUAGGCAACUAGAGAUUGGUGGCACAGAAUAGGGAGAAGCGACUGUUUAUCAAAAACACAGGUCUCUGCUAAGUCGUAAGACGAUGUAUAGGGACUGACGCCUGCCCGGUGCCGGAAGGUUAAAUGGUGGAGUGCAAGCUCUGAAAUGAAGCCCCGGUGAACGGCGGCCGUAACUAUAACGGUCCUAAGGUAGCGAAAUUCCUUGUCAGGUAAGUUCUGACCCGCAUGAAUGGCGUAACGAUUUCUCCGCUGUCUCCAACAUCAACUCAGCGAAAUUGAAUUCUCCGUGAAGAUGCGGAGUUCGCGUAGUUAGACGGAAAGACCCCGUGCACCUUUACUAUAGCUUUGCAGUGGUAUUAGGAAAAUAAUGUGUAGGCUAGGUGGUAGACUUUGAAGCAGGAGCGCUAGCUCUUGUGGAGUCAAAAGAUGAAACACCACCCUUUGUUUUUUUGAUAUCUAACCAACAUCCAUUAUCUGGAUGUGGGACCCUGUAUGGUGGGUAGUUUGACUGGGGCGGUCUCCUCCUAAAGAGUAACGGAGGCGCGCGAUGGUAGGCUCAGGCUGGUCGGAAAUCAGCUGUAGAGUGCAAUGGCAUAAGCCUGCCUGACUGCGAGACGUACAUGUCGAGCAGAGUCGAAAGACGGUCAUAGUGAUCCGGUGGUUCCAAGUGGAAGGGCCAUCNNNNNGCAGGUCCCAAGGGUUUGGCUGUUCGCCAAUUAAAGUGGUACGUGAGCUGGGUUCAGAACGUCGUGAGACAGUUCGGUCCCUAUCUGCUAUACGAGUUGGAAAUUUGACAGGAUUUGUCCCUAGUACGAGAGGACCGGGAUGAACGUACCACUGGUGUACCAGUUGUUCCGCCAGGAGCAUCGCUGGGUAGCUAUGUACGGACAGGAUAACCGCUGAAAGCAUCUAAGCGGGAAACCCACCUGAAUACUGGAUUUCCCCAUCAGAGUCGUGGAAGACCACCACGUUGA